Molecule: ribosomal RNA, 325 nt
Filed under: Salmonella enterica subsp. enterica serovar Typhimurium
Lineage: Bacteria; Pseudomonadati; Pseudomonadota; Gammaproteobacteria; Enterobacterales; Enterobacteriaceae
Description: bacterial SSU rRNA
Rfam family: Bacterial small subunit ribosomal RNA
Source: RNAcentral
AAAUUGAAGAGUUUGAUCAUGGCUCAGAUUGAACGCUGGCGGCAGGCCUAACACAUGCAAGUCGAGCGGAAACGAGUUAUCUGAACCUUCGGGGGACGAUAACGGCGUCGAGCGGCGGACGGGUGAGUAAUGCCUAGGAAAUUGCCCUGAUGUGGGGGAUAACCAUUGGAAACGAUGGCUAAUACCGCAUGAUGCCUACGGGCCAAAGAGGGGGACCUUCGGGCCUCUCGCGUCAGGAUAUGCCUAGGUGGGAUUAGCUAGUUGGUGAGGUAACGGCUCACCAAGGCGACGAUCCCUAGCUGGUCUGAGAGGAUGACCAGCCACA